AUUCAUGUUUAAUUUUUAUGAGAUUCUUAUGUGAUAGUGACAACUGCACCCUUGACCUUGCUGAAGGAGGGGAGGCAUGAAGCUAAUCAGAAAAUUUUCUCUAAUAAGCUUUCAUAGAAGAGUUUUCCAAAUAAAAUGAAGAGGGCUAUCAUGGCAUAUCAAGUUUCUCUAAUUUUCAGGAAACAAAGAUACUAAUUUGCUUUACUCUUAGGGAUUCUUAAAAGGCCUCUUUUCUAACUGCAUAUUUAGAAUAUAUAAUCAGAGGACCAACGUUCAAUAUCUUUUUUUGUGCCAUCACUUUAAAAAGUGCAGCCAUGCUCCCCACUUAACUAUCUGGAGUUGAGAAAUGAUCUGGGAGUUGGCCCAGAAAUAGUGUGAACAGCUAGAGCCAAUAUUGACAAAUCCUUAUUCUGCAACCCCACAAGUUUCUCUCCUAGGGCUAGGGGUAAGAAUGCAGCAGUGAACAUGGUUCCUGCACUCAUGAAGCAAAUGUAUCCACUGUGGUACAAAAGAGACUGUAAAAAACAAACCCAAAUGGACAACAGACCCCAACUCCAGUUUAAAAACGCCACCACUCAACAGCCUGUUUUCUGAGCCUAUGACCACAUAUAUGCUGCAGAACCCUUUCAGGGUGUAUCUGAAACUACUUCUCUUAAAGGCAAGCUGUAACUGGUGCCAGAAAAGACAGAAGCUGAUUGAGGUCCCAGCUUGGUAACAGUUUGAAGAGUUGCAGGACUGGCUGGAUGAGUACUGGCUGCAGCAAAUCAGGCUGCCAGGAUUCUUUAUGGCUGUUUCUGCUUCCACUACAGCUGAGUCAGAAAGGUCGCUGCCCCGUGG
This 837-nucleotide long non-coding RNA is filed under the name Homo sapiens (human). RNAcentral describes it as "DOCK8 antisense RNA 2". The record is from RNAcentral. Lineage: Eukaryota; Metazoa; Chordata; Mammalia; Primates; Hominidae.